CUGCAACAGUAGGAACUCAGCGCUACGACCUCGAUGAAUGAGAUAAGUGAGAGGAAUGCUGAGCAAAGUCCACCGUCAGUCCUCCGACCAGUGAAACAAUAAACAGAGAGAAAUUUGCAGAUAACAUGGGCCAACAUAGAUGCGAGAAGGGAUCACCAGUGCCAUUGGUAGACAUUGCAGUAUUUCAUUAAACUGCAGCCUGCCUCUGACCUCCGUCUCUCUCAAAGCCUGGUCUCCAGAAAGAAUCCUGAAUUUUGCCUACAAAGUAAACUAAUUCCCAGAAUACAAGAAUACUUUGCUGCAUCUUCACUUGCCUCAGCCUUCAACCAAGCUCCUAGGAAAGAGACCAGCGGCAGAAUAUUGCGCUCGUUGGGCAGGCACGUGCCCGACCUGAACGAGUGUAAAGUGACGCAUGACCACCGUUGGACAAGCAUCUCGACAUCAUCACACACUCGUGCGAUAUUUUGGUCGGUGGGUGCACGAGGGAGCUUGCAGCAUGCAUGCUGACAAUUAACAGACCUAUUAAGACCAUUAUAGUUCUAAUUAAAUAAAAUUUUUCACUGCCUGUCCAACCUUACGGCUGGUGGGUGGGCGAAAAUGCCAAGCGGCCUUUGGAUUUUUUACA
Molecule: long non-coding RNA, 625 nt
Organism: Carcharodon carcharias (great white shark)
Lineage: Eukaryota; Metazoa; Chordata; Chondrichthyes; Lamniformes; Lamnidae
Exons: 3
Source: RefSeq, a predicted model, not a curated record